RNAcentral lists this unclassified non-coding RNA (227 nucleotides) under uncultured fungus. RNAcentral's name for it is "sequence contains ITS1, 5.8S rRNA gene". The stretch from base 179 to 227 matches the Rfam family "5.8S ribosomal RNA", at positions 1 to 49 of the family's 154-position model. Lineage: Eukaryota; Fungi. The record is from RNAcentral.
UCUCCGUAGGUGAACCUGCGGAGGGAUCAUUACUGAGUGAGGGCCUUCUGGUCCGACCUCCAACCCCAUGUUAUCCGACACUGUUGCCUCCGGGGCGACCCGGCCUUCGGGCGUCGGGGCCCCGGGUGGACCAUUCAAACACUGCAUCAUUGCGUCGGAGUUAAAGUAAAUUAAACAAAACUUUCAACAACGGAUCUCUUGGUUCCAGCAUCGAUGAAGAACGCAGC